AAGAAUGUGACUACUUUAUAGUAAUUAUAAAGUGUUAAACAUCUAAAAACGGAUUGUAUUCCUUUUUGGACUUACAUAAAUCAAACAAACUGUGUACUCUCGACUAAAAUGUGCCUGACUAAACUGACUUCUGUUGUUUUUGAAGGAUGCAUACUUUUGAACACUUUUAUAUAUAAAGUCAAUUGCGUUAGGUACCAUAAAUUUUUUUACAUCGUAGUCAAUUUUGUGAUUCUCACAACUUUGGCCUAACUUCUUGUCCUUCUCUCUAAAUUGCUUGUAAAAAUGAUUUUAUCCCUAAAACAUUCUGUAGAACAAAGUGGAAGCACCAAAUUGGUUAUAGCUAUGUCUAUGCAUGUGCACUUGAAGUGUUGGAAAAUAGUUUUUUAAAUAUGGUUGUCUGAGAGUAUGUUGUGAAUUGUACUUGAAUUUUUGCUAAUUGUUGGUACUCAUUUUGUCAACAAGAAGAAUUUUUAUGAAAAUUGUUUUUAGAGAGUAGCUCUUUUUGACAGAACAGUUCAUAAAAAUUUGUCGGGCAUGCUUCCUCUUUCCUUAGAAUACUACUUUUUACUUUUUUCGUGAGAGAUCUAAAACUAUUUGUUUGAUCGUUUGUAUCACGUUACUCUUACCUGUAUGAAGUCUUAAUAGCCUACUACAAUCAAAUUAAGCCUAGGCUCAUAAUAUUGAAGUUUAUUUUCAGUGUCCAUUGUUGAGGAAGACACAAGGAACAACAAUGGUGAGAAAAAGAAAUCGAUUUACUUUUUUCGUGAGAGAUCUAAUACUAUUUGUUUGAUUGUUUGCAUCACGUUACUCUUACCUGUAUUAAGUCACUCUUACCUGUAUGAAGUCUUAAUAGCCUACUACAAUCAAAUUAAGCUUAGGCUCAUAAUAUUUAAGUUUAUUUUCAGUGUCCAUUGUUUGUUAUCGCAGGACGAGGAAGACACAAGGAACAACAAUGGUGAGAGAGAGAAUUUGAUUGAACAUUUGGAGUUCUUUAACAGUUGUAAUGCUAUUACAACCUUCAAAAGAGAUGUGAAUAUAUGGAUACAGAUUCAACUAGCAAUCCCAUCAAAGAGAGUGCAGCUCAAGGAAAGAAAACGAGAAGAACAAAGAAGAGGAAAUUUAGAGAGAUAGUGAUUGCAUCUUUUGAAAAUUCUGAAAUAGACUCGGCCAUAUGAUAUCUAGUUGAAUCUGUAUCCAUAUAUUCCACAUCUCUUUUGAACGUCAGUUCUGGAAGCUCCAAUGAUUGAUAUAGAUUCAACCAAAGACGCAAUGAAAGAGAGGGCACCUCUAAAAAAGCGGAGUUGGAGACGGAGAAAGAAGUUGAGACCCAAACUGAGGAUGUCAAGGAGAAAACUUCUUGUUCUUAAUAUAAAUGGGCUGCUUGCUCAUAUUGUUAAUGUGCCCCCAAUGGCUGAGCAUACACCAGGUGUACCAGGCAGGAGAGGUGAGAAUGCAGUCUUAAUGUUAUUUGGAAACAUUGAUGAUUAAAGUUGGAGGCAUUUCCCAACUGCCAUGCAUGAUCUCUAACUCUUAACGCAUUGAUUGAUUUUCUGUUUCAGUUUAUGCGACCCUUUUGUAAUGAUUUUAUGAAGUUUUUGCUUUAGGAAAUUUGAUGUCGGUAUUUGGACUUCGGACUUCGAGAGCCAAGUAUGUUGGUUAUUUCAUCAACUUCUCUUGCAUAUUGAUUUAACUCCUGGAAAUAAUUAUUCUCAUGUUUUUCCUGUUUAUUGCCUACUGUUUCUAUGAAUUUCUCGAGUGCUAACCGUGUAGCAUACACAAGGAUGUUGUUGAUAAAUUGGUUAAUAAAUUGUUGGGAGAUUUGAAUCACAAGUUUUUUGGUUGGGCAAGUCUUCAAAGUGUCUGUUUAUUUAUUUCUUUUAAAAAAUUCUGCGCUAAAGAGUUAUUAACAAAAAAAUGUUUUAAUUGGGCCCAUCUCAAAUUUAUUUAUGUAUUUAUUUUUUCUUUUUUACGUUUUCAAGAAAUAUCAGCAUAUUUUCAACCUCUGUCUAGCAAAGGUGUGCAUCACAGUUGAUGCUUUAGCGUGCUUCUAUCAGUUCAGUUUAGGCAGCGACAAGACGUGAGCCACUUUACUGGACCAUACCUAAAAUUUUCACGCAGCAGACCGUCCUCCAUCUAAUGAUUAAAUAUUCUGAUCAACGGUGAUAAAUAUCAGUUAUUGAUAUAGAGGUUCAUAAGUUAGAUGGCUGGGAUUAUCUGAAUGGUGCCCAUUUUGGAUUGAAUAUGAAAGCAGAAAUGGAAAUAUGUUUUAGAAAGCAAAAUCAGCCAAAGUUACUAUAUAAGAUAAGAGUAUUAUGGCUACAUGAAUACUAUAUACUAUUCCUGUAGGUCAUAUUGUUUAGUUGCUUUUGGAAGUUAAUAUACAUGUUACAAAUCAAUGGUACAUAUUCUCUUUUUGCAGGAUGGAUCCUGGGGAUACACUCCUGGGCUUUUCUUGGGGAAGUUAACAAGCCCAUGUUAGUUGAAGAUUUGAGUAAAAUAUGGAAAACAUUGAUCCUAAUCUUCCAUAAAAGAGGAGAGAUUAUAAUAAGUCAAACACAUUGUUAUUGGAUGAUACUCCAUAUAAGAGGGAUUCCUUAAUCCUGCACACUGCAAUCUUCCCAUCUUCACAUACGCCUAUAGGCAAGAGCAACAGCAAUUCAUUAGGUAUGACGUCUUCUAAUAUAAUUCCCUUUUUUUUAUUUUUUAUGUUUUUUUAUUAUUUUAUUUGUCUUCAUCUUGUUUUUCUUUAUAGAACGGGUGAUGCCUUUGCCUUAAUAUUCAGUAAUUCCUUCCAUUUGUACUCGUGACAUUUGCAAUAUGUAUUGAGUCUUCGGAUUGGAAAUGUUAAUUACAUGGCUAGAUGCUACACCAUCCUUAGAAUUACAAGUGUGGUUACAUCAUAAUUUAUUGUUUCUCUAAUUAUUUUUUGUUGCACAUUAUGAUGUUAAAUGACUUGUAAUAGAGGUCUUGGAGGCGAUAUUCGUUCAUAUCUGAAGAAUUUAGCAGCCACUAAAUAUAUACGAACUAUGUAAAGCGCCAUCCAUUUGGCCAACAUGAUCCAAAAUGGGAAUCAUAUCGCCAAUGGUUGUGGAAUUAAGGGAAUCAUAUCGCCAAUCAUAAUUUAGUCUUGACAAGUUUCUCAAAUUUCUCUCUACUGGAUUAGAAGGUUUUUUUUUUUUUUUUUUUUGUAUUCCUGGAUUAGAAGUUCUCUUUCUAGCUUAUUGGGUUUUUCUGUUUACUUCAUUCUCAUUAUUGUUGAUUGGUAAAAUUAUUAUCUCAAUCUGCCUUGGUUUUUCAUGUGGAAAA
Cornus florida is the source of this 3306-nucleotide long non-coding RNA. RefSeq lists it as uncharacterized. The transcript has 2 exons. Lineage: Eukaryota; Viridiplantae; Streptophyta; Magnoliopsida; Cornales; Cornaceae. The record is from RefSeq and is a predicted model, not a curated record.